RNAcentral lists this ribosomal RNA (416 nucleotides) under Trachydactylus spatalurus (spacious rock gecko). RNAcentral's name for it is "partial small subunit ribosomal RNA". It matches the Rfam family "Bacterial small subunit ribosomal RNA", at positions 773 to 1388 of the family's 1533-position model. The record is from RNAcentral. Lineage: Eukaryota; Metazoa; Chordata; Lepidosauria; Squamata; Gekkonidae.
GGGGAAUAGAUACCCCACUAUGCCUAGCCUUAAACCUAGAUAGUACUGCCACCCACUAUCCGCCAGAGAAUUACGAGCGAAAAGCUUAAAACUCAAAGGACUUGACAGCACUCCAAACCAACCUAGAGGAGCCUGUCCUAUAAUCGAUGACCCACGCUUCACCUCACCUGUCCUUGCCCCGCCCAGCCUAUAUACCGCCGCCUCCAGCUAGCCUUGUGAAAGUACCAAAGCCAGCAGAAUAGUUAUCCGCUAAGACGUCAGGUCAAGGUGUAGCUAAUGGACAGGGACGAGAUGGGCUACAUUUUCUACAUACAUAGACCACUACCAACGGCAUCAUGAAAACAUGCAUCAAAGGAGGAUUUAGUAGUAACUUAGGUGAGACUCCCUAAAUGAAACACGCUCUGGAGUGUGUACAC